GAAACAUAUUUAUUAAGAAAAAGCUUCUAACUUUUUUCUUUAGCAGUGAAAUUCUGUUAAUGUUUCU
This 67-nucleotide transfer RNA is filed under the name Rhagonycha przewalskii. RNAcentral describes it as "tRNA-Ser". The record is from RNAcentral. Lineage: Eukaryota; Metazoa; Arthropoda; Insecta; Coleoptera; Cantharidae. RNAcentral also lists the same sequence under 1 other name.